AACGAACGCUGGCGGCAGGCCUAACACAUGCAAGUCGAGCGAAGCCUUCGGGCUUAGCGGCGGACGGGUGAGUAACGCGUGGGAACGUGCCCUUUGGUACGGAAUAGCCCCGGGAAACUGGGAGUAAUACCGUAUGUGGUCGAGAGACGAAAGAUUUAUCGCCAAAGGAUCGGCCCGCGUUGGAUUAGGUAGUUGGUGGGGUAAUGGCCUACCAAGCCGACGAUCCAUAGCUGGUUUGAGAGGAUGAUCAGCCGCACUGGGACUGAGACACGGCCCAGACUCCUACGGGAGGCAGCAGUGGGGAAUCUUAGACAAUGGGGGAGACCCUGAUCUAGCCAUGCCGCGUGAUCGAUGAAGGCCUUAGGGUUGUAAAGAUCUUUCAGUGGGGAAGAUAAUGACUGUACCCACGGAAGAAGCCCCGGCUAACUCCGUGCCAGCCGCCGCCGUAA
RNAcentral lists this ribosomal RNA (449 nucleotides) under uncultured bacterium. RNAcentral describes it as "partial 16S ribosomal RNA". It matches the Rfam family "Bacterial small subunit ribosomal RNA", at positions 29 to 523 of the family's 1533-position model. The record is from RNAcentral.